CAGUCGCCGCGGGAAAACGAAGAGGGCUAGCGUUGUUCGGAAUUACUGGGCGUAGAGGGCGCGUAGGCGGCCAUUCAAGUUAGAUGUGAAAGCCCUGGGCUCAACCUAGGAAUUGCAUUUGAUACUGUUUGGCUUGAGUUCGGGAGAGGUGAGUGGAAUUCCCAGUGUAGAGGUGAAAUUCGUAGAUAUUGGGAAGAACACCAGUGGCGAAGGCGGUUCACUGGACCGACACUGACGCUGAGGCGCGAAAGCGUGGGGAGCAAACAGGAUUAGAUACCCCCGUAGUCCCUGUCUCUUAUAC
RNAcentral lists this ribosomal RNA (301 nucleotides) under uncultured bacterium. RNAcentral describes it as "partial 16S ribosomal RNA". It matches the Rfam family "Bacterial small subunit ribosomal RNA", at positions 509 to 807 of the family's 1533-position model. The record is from RNAcentral.